RNAcentral lists this ribosomal RNA (216 nucleotides) under Campeiostachys nutans. Its description in RNAcentral is "Elymus nutans partial small subunit ribosomal RNA". The stretch from base 92 to 216 matches the Rfam family "Eukaryotic small subunit ribosomal RNA", at positions 738 to 864 of the family's 1831-position model. Lineage: Eukaryota; Viridiplantae; Streptophyta; Magnoliopsida; Poales; Poaceae. The record is from RNAcentral.
GGGUUAGUAGGUUGGUCAUGCCUCUGGUAUGUACUGGUCUCACUGAUUCCUCCUUCCUGAUGAACCUUAAUGCCCUUUGCUGGGUGUGGCGGGGAACCAGGACUUUUACCUUGAAAAAAUUAGAGUGUUUAAAGCAGGCCAAUUGCUUGAAUACAUUAGCAUGGAAUAAUGGAAUAGGAUUUCGGUUCUAUUUUGUUGGUUUCUAGGACCGAAGUA